Long non-coding RNA from Harpegnathos saltator (Jerdon's jumping ant), 1367 nucleotides. RefSeq lists it as uncharacterized. The record is from RefSeq and is a predicted model, not a curated record. The transcript is spliced from 3 exons. NCBI's taxonomy places the organism in Eukaryota, Metazoa, Arthropoda, Insecta, Hymenoptera, Formicidae.
UCGAGAGGAUCGAUGUUGGUACGAGUCGCGCGUCGCCGCACCGAUUCGAAAAGCCGAGUGUGCGCAGUGUGGGUGCAGUGGAUUUCCAAUAGAAUUAAGCAAGAUCAAUAGUGAAUAGUCCGACGAGACGGUGACGCGGAUCUCCAUUUAUGCAAUUACUCGUCGCGCGUGUCGCCGCGUGCGUGGAUCCGCUGCAGUUCGGAGGAGCACGAGGAGAGACAGAAAGAAGCGAAAGAAAGGAGAGCCGGUAAGAGCCGUGGAAUCAAUCUCGCGCGAAACCCCGCAUCUUCGCGGAUCUACGCUCGACUCGCCGCUCGACGAUUGACCGACAUCGCGAUUCACAGUGACGGCAGUGUGCGUGCGUGUGUGUGUGUGUCCUCCUUAAAACUGCAGUGAGCGACGCGAUAUUGCGACUGCUCUAUCGCGGUAACAGUGCCAAGUAUUGCGCGCGCACGCGCGUGUGUGUAUGUGUGCGUACGACAGCGAGGUGAUAACGAGAUUCCCUUUCAAGUGCCGGCGCGAGAGAGGACUCUCGCGCGAUUACCCUCGCGCGACCGGCGACCCGCGACGUCGCCGACGGCAGUUCGCCUCGUGCUGGUCGCACGGACGGGCGGACGGAAAGGAUGCGAUUAGCGCGACGACGACGACGAUUCGCCGUUGCGGCAUCGUGAAGCCCUUCGCGGUGCAAUUGGCGUAAUGCGGCGCUCCUCGCGCGCUAUCGGGAGCGAGCGAGAAUAAAGGAGGAAAGAGAGGCCCCGCGGAACAACGAUCGCUGCGCGAAAUCGACGCUUCGAGAAAUCGACCGCUUCGAGCCGACCGGUGUCACGAAGGAAACGCAAUCGGUGUACCGCGAAGCGAGCUAUCGCCGUAAAUUGCAGCGUUCGGAGCGCGGCGCGCGAUAACGGCACACCGCUCUCGGCUCUCCGGCGAUGUAGCAGCCUGGCAAAAAAGCGCGGCGGAAACGUACAAUAACGCUCUCUCGCCCGUCGCUCUAAUUGGAAGCGACGCCGCUCGCGAGCGAGCGAGCGAGCGAGCGAGCCACGAGGAAGUCGCAGAAUCUAACGGUCACUUCUCCCACGCCCCACGGUAGGAUGCGAUCGAGGGCGCCGCGCGACACGACGGAAAAUGAGCGAUGAAAGCGUUCUGAGGAGCCAAAGCGGCAUUCCCUACGCCGACGAGGAUGCGCCCGGCGCAGAGGACGUCGCUUGUCGGCCGGUCGCUUCAUGGCUCACGUCGAAGGGGUUGACGAACGCCGAGGAGGACGCGUGUUCGCGAAACGUGCAGAGUUUCACGACCUUCCGAACUUCCGGCCCAACGGGAGGCAUCGCGAGGCGGAAAUUUUCGUUGACCGACGACGGCGGUGGUGG